CUCCCGCUUUGGCUAAUUGCAAGCAACUAAUGCUGGGUUACAGGUUGAGAAGGAACGCACAUAAUUGACUCCGGCCGCCAGGAUGAGCCUGCUAGUCUGCUGGCAUGAGAAAUCCAGAGUGACAGAGCAGCAGCCAUACUGCAACGUUAAACGGGAAUAUUGCUGCGCCCCAUUGUAGAUGCAUUUCCUUUCUGAGAACCUUGAUCUCUGGACCCACAGAAUUUAAUCUGCAAGGACAAGUUUCCCAAGAAUGGAUCACUGACACCACGUGGGAGACAGCGGGAACUGAGUGCUAUGUUUGGGACCGUUCUCCAGCCUCCCAGAAAUGUAAAGUUGGAUUUUCUAAUAACUUCUAAUCAUGGAAAUCACAUACCCACUAUGUGCUAGACACUAUUGUAGGUACUGGAGAAUGAGAAUAAGCAGCCCUGCCCUCAAGGAGCCUUUUUUCUGGUGUUAGCACAGUGCAUAAGGUGGUGCCUUAAAGACCGACCUAUGACAUGGCGUGGCUGUCCUGAUGACUUGCCUAUUUUACGUCUGACCCAUGCUAGGUAGAAAGUGAGUGAGUGACAUGCAAACCCUGGUCUUUGGCUGCUAGAGUGUAUGAGCCGUCCAUUAUCAUGCUGACCUGCCUCGCAGAGCAAUAGUGACUUCAGUAUUGGGAACUGAUGGUGAUGAAGGUAAUAAUAGAGGAACAUUAGCCCUGAGCUAACAUCCACUGCCGAUCCUCCUCUUUUUGCUGAGGAAGAUUGGCCCUGAGCUAACAUCGUACCCAUCUUCCUUUACUUUAUAUGUGGGAUGCCUGCCACAGCAUGGCUUGAUAAGCAGUGUGUAGCUCCGUGCCCAGGAUCCGAACCCAGGAACCCCAGACUGCCAAAGUGGAACAUACA
This 887-nucleotide long non-coding RNA is filed under the name Equus caballus (horse). Its description in RNAcentral is "lncRNA (ENSECAG00000048109.1)". The record is from RNAcentral. Lineage: Eukaryota; Metazoa; Chordata; Mammalia; Perissodactyla; Equidae.